AAGCAGUGGGAGCACGCUUAGGCGUGUGACUGCGUACCUUUUGUAUAAUGGGUCAGCGACUUAUAUUCUGUAGCAAGGUUAACCGAAUAGGGGAGCCGAAGGGAAACCGAGUCUUAACUGGGCGUUAAGUUGCAGGGUAUAGACCCGAAACCCGGUGAUCUAGCCAUGGGCAGGUUGAAGGUUGGGUAACACUAACUGGAGGACCGAACCGACUAAUGUUGAAAAAUUAGCGGAUGACUUGUGGCUGGGGGUGAAAGGCCAAUCAAACCGGGAGAUAGCUGGUUCUCCCCGAAAGCUAUUUAGGUAGCGCCUCGUGAAUUCAUCUCCGGGGGUAGAGCACUGUUUCGGCAAGGGGGUCAUCCCGACUUACCAACCCGAUGCAAACUGCGAAUACCGGAGAAUGUUAUCACGGGAGACACACGGCGGGUGCUAACGUCCGUCGUGAAGAGGGAAACAACCCAGACCGCCAGCUAAGGUCCCAAAGUCAUGGUUAAGUGGGAAACGAUGUGGGAAGGCCCAGACAGCCAGGAUGUUGGCUUAGAAGCAGCCAUCAUUUAAAGAAAGCGUAAUAGCUCACUGGUCGAGUCGGCCUGCGCGGAAGAUGUAACGGGGCUAAACCAUGCACCGAAGCUGCGGCAGCGACGCUUAUGCGUUGUUGGGUAGGGGAGCGUUCUGUAAGCCUGUGAAGGUGUGCUGUGAGGCAUGCUGGAGGUAUCAGAAGUGCGAAUGCUGACAUAAGUAACGAUAAAGCGGGUGAAAAGCCCGCUCGCCGGAAGACCAAGGGUUCCUGUCCAACGUUAAUCGGGGCAGGGUGAGUCGACCCCUAAGGCGAGGCCGAAAGGCGUAGUCGAUGGGAAACAGGUUAAUAUUCCUGUACUUGGUGUUACUGCGAAGGGGGGACGGAGAAGGCUAUGUUGGCCGGGCGACGGUUGUCCCGGUUUAAGCGUGUAGGCUGGUUUUCCAGGCAAAUCCGGAAAAUCAAGGCUGAGGCGUGAUGACGAGGCACUACGGUGCUGAAGCAACAAAUGCCCUGCUUCCAGGAAAAGCCUCUAAGCAUCAGGUAACAUCAAAUCGUACCCCAAACCGACACAGGUGGUCAGGUAGAGAAUACCAAGGCGCUUGAGAGAACUCGGGUGAAGGAACUAGGCAAAAUGGUGCCGUAACUUCGGGAGAAGGCACGCUGAUAUGUAGGUGAAGCGACUUGCUCGUGGAGCUGAAAUCAGUCGAAGAUACCAGCUGGCUGCAACUGUUUAUUAAAAACACAGCACUGUGCAAACACGAAAGUGGACGUAUACGGUGUGACGCCUGCCCGGUGCCGGAAGGUUAAUUGAUGGGGU
This 1337-nucleotide ribosomal RNA is filed under the name Escherichia coli. Its description in RNAcentral is "bacterial LSU rRNA". It matches the Rfam family "Bacterial large subunit ribosomal RNA", at positions 568 to 1890 of the family's 2925-position model. Lineage: Bacteria; Pseudomonadati; Pseudomonadota; Gammaproteobacteria; Enterobacterales; Enterobacteriaceae. The record is from RNAcentral.